CGAAGGGGGCGAGCGUUGUUCGGGUUUACUGGGCGUAAAGGGCGCGCAGGCGGUCGUUUUUGUCGAGUGUGAAAGCCCCGGGCUUAACCUGGGAACUGCGCUCGAAACGGGAUGACUAGAGAUCGGGAGAGGAGAGUGGAAUUCCCAGUGUAGAGGUGAAAUUCGUAGAUAUUGGGAAGAACACCGGUGGCGAAGGCGGCUCUCUGGACCGAUACUGACGCUGAGGCGCGAAAGCGUGGGGAGCAAACAGGAUUAGAUACCCUGGUAGUCCACGCUGUAAACGAUGUGUGCUAGACGUUGGGGAGCCUAGCUCUUCGGUGUCGCAGCUAACGCGGUAAGCACACCGCCUGGGGAGUACGGCCGCAAGGUUA
This 371-nucleotide ribosomal RNA is filed under the name uncultured organism. RNAcentral's name for it is "bacterial SSU rRNA". It matches the Rfam family "Bacterial small subunit ribosomal RNA", at positions 526 to 896 of the family's 1533-position model. The record is from RNAcentral.